AUAUUGCACAAUGGGGGAAACCCUGAUGCAGCGACACCGCGUGUGGGAUGACGGCCUUCGGGUUGUAAACCACUGUUAGGGGGAACGAAGUUCAGCCGGGCGAACAGUCCGGUCGGAUUGACGGUACUCCCAGAGAAAGCCACGGCUAACUCUGUGCCAGCAGCCGCGGUAAGACAGAGGUGGCAAGCGUUGUCCGGAUUUACUGGGCGUAAAGGGCGUGUAGGCGGUUCCACAAGUCGGCCGUGAAAAGCGUCGGCUCAACCGAAGCAGGGCGACCGAGACUGUGGGGCUUAGAGUGCGGGAGAGGGAAGUGGAAUUCCCGGUGUAGCAGUGAAAUGCGUAGAUAUCGGGAAGAACACCAAUGGCGAAAGCGACUUCCUGGCCCGCUACUGACGCUGAGGCGCGAAAGCCAGGGGAGCGAAC
Molecule: ribosomal RNA, 423 nt
Filed under: uncultured bacterium
Lineage: Bacteria
Description: bacterial SSU rRNA
Rfam family: Bacterial small subunit ribosomal RNA
Source: RNAcentral